AGACAUUUGGCUGAGAGCGUUAGCUGAUCACUCUGAUCCAGUUAGCUAAGCCCUGGGCCGGCGAGCUUAGCUCAGGCAGAGAGCCUCUGGCUCUCAAUGAGGUUGUAGUGGACGGCACUGGGCAGACUGAUAAGAACUCAAACCAUUCUAAAAAUUUUCUACUUUCAAUGUGUGCUGUUGUGGUUAUGGUGCCUUUAAACAUUACUUCACAAAAAAAAAAAAAAAAAACCACAAACUCCUACGAACAGCAAAUCCUGAUAUACUCAGCAAGGCAAAGGAGGAGGAGUGUAUUCCUGGCUGUCCGCACCUUAUGGCAUUUGACAUUCUACAGCAUCUUAUCAGCUUCUGGAAGAGAUUUACUUUUUAGCUGCUUCUACAGUAAGGCAUACGAUGAGCUGAAACAUUAGCACAUCAUUGUUACAUCUUCCCCACUAUUAACUGGGAACCCAUAGAGUUAAGCAAUAUGAUUCAUCACUAUACCCUUUGGCACAAU
Non-coding RNA from Pelobates cultripes (western spadefoot toad), 493 nucleotides. The record is from the annotation of a GenBank genome assembly. Lineage: Eukaryota; Metazoa; Chordata; Amphibia; Anura; Pelobatidae.